This 881-nucleotide ribosomal RNA is filed under the name uncultured Neocallimastigales. Its description in RNAcentral is "partial large subunit ribosomal RNA". The stretch from base 98 to 881 matches the Rfam family "Eukaryotic large subunit ribosomal RNA", at positions 1 to 616 of the family's 3401-position model. The record is from RNAcentral. Lineage: Eukaryota; Fungi; Neocallimastigomycota; Neocallimastigomycetes; Neocallimastigales.
AGAGAGAGACAUGCGCGCAUAUCAAUAAGCGGAGGAAAAGGCUGCGGAACUGAACGACCGCUACCUACGCUUAGGAUGUUGAAGUCAUCGUAUCGCGCGUGCUUGAUCUAUACAUGACUCUGCGCAUAUCAAUAAGCGGAGGAAAAGAAACUAACAAGGAUUCCCCUAGUAACGGCGAGUGAAGCGGGAAGAGCUCAAAUUUGAAAUCUUAAAGGGUUUCCCUUUACGAAUUGUAGUUUAAAGAAGUGUUUUCUGUUGAGGUUUUGGUAAAAGUUCUUUGGAAUAGGACAUCAUAGAGGGUGAGAAUCCCGUAUUUGACCUUUACUUUCAACUUUGUGAUACACUUUCAAAGAGUCGGAUUGUUUGGGAAUGCAGUCCAAAAUGGGUGGUAAAUUUCAUCUAAAGCUAAAUAUUGGCGAGAGACCGAUAGCGAACAAGUACCGUGAGGGAAAGAUGAAAAGAACUUUGAAAAGAGAGUUAAACAGUACGUGAAAUUGUCAAAAGGGAAGCGUUUGACACCAGUGUUGUUUUUCUGAAAAUCAAUUAAAGAACUGUUUAUGCUAAGCUGUUUAGACUUUAUCAGCUAACUGUUUAGUUUUGAGCUUUUCUUUAAUGCACUUUUCAGUUAACAAGUCAACAUCAAUUUCUUUGCUGUAAAAAAGCUUGAGGAAGGUGGCUUGAGAUUCGUCUUAAGUGUUUAUAGCCUCUUGCCUAUGCAGUCGGAGAGAUUGAGGUCUGCAGCGUAGAUCCUUCGGGGCUAAAUGCAUUUGUGCUAAGUUAUAGCAUUUUAUAGACAUACUUGUUGACUAUGAUUUGUCUUGUAGCUUACUCGCUUAUGUUAUUUUACCUACGCUUAGGAUGUUGAGCGCAUGUCUCUCUCU